CAACUCCCCGAGUGGUCCGGACGAUUAUUGGGCUUAAAGCGUCCGUAGCCGGCCUAGUAAGUCUCCGGUUAAAUCCGGCGUCUCAAGCGCCGGGCUGCCGGAGAUACUGCUAGGCUAGGGAGCGGGAGAGGCGGGCGGUAUUCCCUGGGUAGGGGUAAAAUCCUAAGAUCCAGGGAGGACCAUCGGUGGCGAAGGCGGCCCGCUAGAACGCGUCCGACGGUGAGGGACGAAAGCUGGGGGAGCGAUCCGGAUUAGAUACCCGGGUAGUCCCAGCCGUAAACGAUGCAGGCUAGGUGUGUGGGCGUCUUAGGGGCGCCCAUGUGCCGAAGGGAAACCGUUAAGCCUGCCGCCUGGGGAGUACGGCCGCAAGGCUGAAACUUAAAGGAAUUGGCGGGGGAGCACCACAAGGGGUGGAGCCUGCGGUUCAAUUGGAGUCAACGCCCGGAACCUUACCCGGGGAGACAGCAGGAUGAAGGCCGGGCUGAAGACCCUGCCAGACAAGCUGAGAGGUGGUGCAUGGCCGUCGCCGGCUCGUACCGUGAGGCGUCCGGUUAAGUCCGGCAACGAGCGAGACCCGUGCCGCCAAUUGCUCCAGCCCUCUUCGGGGGGCUGAGGAAAUUGGCGGGACCGCCGCCGACAAGGCGGAGGAAGGAGCGGGCUACGGCAGGUCAGUAUGCCCUGAAUCCCCGGGGCCACACGCGGGCUACAAUGGCGCGGACAAUGGGUUGCGACCCCGAAAGGGGGAGCUAAUCCCUAAACCGCGCCUCAGUUGGGAUCGAGGGCUGCAACCCGUCCUCGUGAACCUGGAAUCCCUAGUAACCGCGCGUCAUCAUCGCGCGGUGAAUACGUCCCUGCUCCUU
This 860-nucleotide ribosomal RNA is filed under the name uncultured organism. Its description in RNAcentral is "bacterial SSU rRNA". It matches the Rfam family "Archaeal small subunit ribosomal RNA", at positions 477 to 1338 of the family's 1478-position model. The record is from RNAcentral.